CCAGUUUGCAGUUUGCAGGGAUGGUCUAACACCUCCCAUGACGGCGGGAUCUGUGGAUUGUUCUUGGCUGAAACUAAAACCGGGUCCCCUUUUUAUAACCUGUAUUCAUUUCACAGACAUGAUCCUCAGUGCUGUUGCCUGUAAAGAAAGCGCAGUGAUGCCAACCCUCAAGAUUAUUUACAAGGCGAAGAGCCCAUCCACAGGGAAAAUCUCUGCCAGACUGAAGCGCUCCGCCACCUCUGCUCUUGUGCUUAUUUGCCGGACAACCUCACAGGCUGGUGCAACACUCUCCCUCUUUUCAGCCACAGGACGAAAGAGUCACGCUCCCAUACGUGACACCACCUCCAGGGAGAGCAGAGUUUUGAGCGAUGCCUGGUGCACUAGUUAGGACUUCACCUCUUCUCCCCGGUUGAAGGACGCCUGUGAGCUGGACUCAUGGCUACUUCGGAUUUGAACUGCAACUCUUUCCCAAGUCUUCGGCCUGCCGGCCUCCUCCGUCAGAUUUUGGGCUCAUCAAACCACCACAAUCACACGAGCCAAU
RNAcentral lists this long non-coding RNA (541 nucleotides) under Equus caballus (horse). Its description in RNAcentral is "lncRNA (ENSECAG00000041853.2)". The record is from RNAcentral. Lineage: Eukaryota; Metazoa; Chordata; Mammalia; Perissodactyla; Equidae.